Molecule: long non-coding RNA, 749 nt
Organism: Brachypodium distachyon (stiff brome)
Lineage: Eukaryota; Viridiplantae; Streptophyta; Magnoliopsida; Poales; Poaceae
Exons: 2
Source: RefSeq, a predicted model, not a curated record
UCUCACAACUUUCUCCCUGGUCGCCCGCUGCUGGCCUGCUACACCAACCCGCACGAGACGUCUCUCGUCUCUGCUCUGCCGCCGGCGAGAAGGGUUGCGUCGCGCGGUCCCGCACGCCACCCUCGGCCGGCAUGGUCCACUGGGAUCACUCCGGCGUCCGGCCAUCUGUGCGGCCUUGCCCACCCCACCCGCCGCCGCCGCCGUCCACUUGCGGACAAAACUUCCCCAAACUUGGGCAUUUCAGAUGGAUAUACUGGCAAACAAAACUGCAUAGUAAUACUCACCACCCAACAGUACCGAGAACUAGAAGUCCAUCAUAUCGGUAAUCACUACUACCAUCCUAUACCAUCAUUAGUAGCAGUACUAUAUGUUAAACAGCCAGGGACUUACUGUAGUGCUCUGUCGGUAGAGCAUCAUCAUAAAUCGGUCAAGCCUUCUUAGUCCAUUCAUCUGCCACAACAUUGGUUCACUGCUACGACCAAAUUAUGUGUUGAUUUGUCAAACCGCACACAACCGCACCUCUACUUCUUUAAUUGUGGAUUGUGAUUAAGUUGUACUACCCGCAAAAAAAAAAGUUGUACUGCACAUUAGCUCCAAGUCUACUGAAACAAUGCCCAACCGCCCAUUCUUGUUUAUUUGUUGCAUCACAUUAUCGAUGCGAGGACAGAUAAUGGUACGAUUAGAACCAAGUCAUUAAUUCAUUACGAUGAAAGAGCAUAGAAGACAAUAAUGCGAUAAUAGCUAACAAA